UGUGUCCCUUUGGGAUUCUAUCCCGAGGGCCAUGUCCGUCUGAGGGUCGG
RNAcentral lists this ribosomal RNA (50 nucleotides) under Hyalesthes obsoletus. RNAcentral describes it as "partial 5.8S ribosomal RNA". The record is from RNAcentral. Lineage: Eukaryota; Metazoa; Arthropoda; Insecta; Hemiptera; Cixiidae.